This 235-nucleotide ribosomal RNA is filed under the name uncultured bacterium. Its description in RNAcentral is "partial 16S ribosomal RNA". It matches the Rfam family "Bacterial small subunit ribosomal RNA", at positions 791 to 1035 of the family's 1533-position model. The record is from RNAcentral.
UAGUCCACGCCGUAAACGAUGGAUACUAAGUGUUGGGGAAAACUCAGUGCUGCAGUUAACGCAAUAAGUAUCCCGCCUGUGGAGUAUGCACGCAAGUGUGAAACAUAAAGGAAUUGACGGGGGCCCGCACAAGCGGUGGAGUAUGUGGUUUAAUUCGACGCAACGCGAAGAACCUUACCAGGCCUUGACAUCCCUUGCAAAGACUUAGAGAUAAGUUAGAGGUUAUCAAGGUGAC